Molecule: unclassified non-coding RNA, 1396 nt
Filed under: uncultured Neocallimastigales
Lineage: Eukaryota; Fungi; Neocallimastigomycota; Neocallimastigomycetes; Neocallimastigales
Description: partial contains small subunit ribosomal RNA, internal transcribed spacer 1, 5.8S ribosomal RNA, internal transcribed spacer 2, and large subunit ribosomal RNA
Rfam family: Eukaryotic large subunit ribosomal RNA (bases 621-1396)
Source: RNAcentral
UUCCGUAGGUGAACCUGCGGAAGGAUCAUUAAAAAAUGUGGUACCAAUUAUUGGUACUAAUUAAUCAUCCUACCCUUUGUGAAUUUGUUUGUAUGAAUUUUUUAAAUGGUCUUUCCCUAAGUUGGAUUGUUAGUAAAAUACAAAAAGACUUAGGGGAAUGACUUUUUUAAAAGACUUUUUUUAAUUAAAACUUUUUGUAUUCAUUUGUCUAAAAUUUAUUUUUAUAAUAUAAAAACAACUUUGACAAUGGAUCUCUUGGUUCUCGCAACGAUGAAGAACGCAGCAAAAUGCGAUAAGUAAUGUGAAUUGCAGAAUACGUGAAUCAUCGAAUCUUCGAACGCAUAUUGCACUUUUUUAGUUUACUAAAAAAGUAUGUCUGUUUGAGUAUCAGUAAAAUAUUCUCAUAAAAUCGAUUGGUUUUAUGGUUAUGAGUGUUUUACAACGAUAAACAAGUUGUUUCACUUUAAAUGGAUUUUAAUUGAAAUCGUCGGUUGGAACGAUUUUAAUUUUUUUAAAAAAUUGGAUAAAAUUUUCCCGUAAAAAGGAAUAAACUAUUUCAGUUUUUUUAGAAAUUUAAUAGUUUCCAUACCGUACAGUUAAGGAAAUUUAUUUAAAUAACUUGAUCUCAAAUCAGAUAAGAGUACCCGCUGAACUUAAGCAUAUCAAUAAGCAGAGGAAAAGAAACUAACAAGGAUUCCCUUAGUAACGGCGAGUGAAGCGGGAAGAGCUCAAAUUUGAAAUCUUCAAGGUUCUACCUUGACGAAUUGUAGUUUAAAGAAGUGUUUUCUGUUAGAGGAGUGGCAAAAGUUCUUUGGAAUAGGACAUCAUAGAGGGUGAGAAUCCCGUAUUUGACCAUGACUUUCCAGCUGUGUGAUACACUUUCAAAGAGUCGGAUUGUUUGGGAAUGCAGUCCAAAAUGGUGGUAAAUUUCAUCUAAAGCUAAAUAUUGGCGAGAGACCGAUAGCGAACAAGUACCGUGAGGGAAAGAUGAAAGAACUUUGAAAAGAGAGUUAAACAGUACGUGAAAUUGUCAAAAGGGAAGCGUUUGACACCAGUGUUGUUUUCUCGAAAAUCAAUUUAAUGAGUUCUUGUUUUUAAGUUAUUGUGACUUUAUCAGCGCAUUUCUUAUUUUACUUGACUCAUUGAAUGCACUUUUCGUUUAACAAGUCAACAUCAAUUUCUUUGGUGGUAAAAGUUUAAAGGAAGGUGGCUUGGACUUCGGUUCAAGUGUUUAUAGCCUUUUUCUAUGCCAUCGGAGAGAUUGAGGUCUGCGGCGUAGAUCCUUCGGGGUUAGAUACCUUUGUGCUAAGUUAUAGUUUUUUAUAGACAACUUGUUGACUAUAAUUAACCCUGUAAUUUACUCGCUUAGGCUAUUUUACCUACGCUUAGGAUGUUG